RNAcentral lists this ribosomal RNA (425 nucleotides) under uncultured bacterium. Its description in RNAcentral is "bacterial SSU rRNA". It matches the Rfam family "Bacterial small subunit ribosomal RNA", at positions 30 to 455 of the family's 1533-position model. The record is from RNAcentral.
AUUGAACGCUGGCGGAAUGCUUUACACAUGCAAGUCGAACGGCAGCACGGGGCAACCUGGUGGCGAGUGGCGAACGGGUGAGUAAUACAUCGGAACGUGCCCAAUCGUGGGGGAUAACGUAGCGAAAGUUACGCUAAUACCGCAUACGAUCUACGGAUGAAAGCGGGGGAUCGCAAGACCUCGCGCGAAUGGAGCGGCCGAUGUCAGAUUAGGUAGUUGGUGGGGGUAAAGGCUCACCAAGCCGACGAUCUGUAGCUGGUCUGAGAGGACGACCAGCCACACUGGGACUGAGACACGGCCCAGACUCCUACGGGAGGCAGCAGUGGGGAAUUUUGGACAAUGGGCGCAAGCCUGAUCCAGCCAUUCCGCGUGCAGGAUGAAGGCCUUCGGGUUGUAAACGUGCUUUGUACGGUAACGAAACGGUU